Molecule: ribosomal RNA, 2003 nt
Filed under: Clostridioides difficile
Lineage: Bacteria; Bacillati; Bacillota; Clostridia; Peptostreptococcales; Peptostreptococcaceae
Description: partial 23S ribosomal RNA
Rfam family: Bacterial large subunit ribosomal RNA
Source: RNAcentral
UUUAACUGAGCGUUCAGUUACUUGACGUAGACCCGAAACCGGGCGACCUACCCAUGAGCAGGAUGAAGCGAAAGUAAAAUUUCGUGGAGGUCCGAACCCACGAGCGUUGAAAAGCUCGGGGAUGACUUGUGGGUAGCGGUGAAAUUCCAAUCGAGCCCGGAGAUAGCUGGUUCUCCCCGAAAUAGCUUUAGGGCUAGCCUCAAGGUGAGAGAUACGGAGGUAGAGCACUGAAUGUCCUAGGGGGUAUUGCACCUACCGAAGACUAUCAAACUCCGAAUGCCGUCAUCUUAUACUUGGGAGUCAGACUGUGGGUGAUAAGAUUCAUAGUCGAAAGGGCAACAGCCCAGAUCGUCAGCUAAGGUCCCUAAAUGUAAGUUAAGUGGUAAAGGAUGUGGGAUUGCACAGACAACCAGGAUGUUGGCUUAGAAGCAGCCACUCAUUCAAAGAGUGCGUAAUAGCUCACUGGUCGAGUGAUCCUGCGCCGAAGAUUUCCGGGGCUAAAACUUACUACCGAAGCUACGGCAUCAGUAAUGAUGGGUAGGGGAGCUUCCCAUACGGGUUGAAGCAUGACCGUAAGGACAUGUGGACAGUAUGGGAGUGAGAAUGUUGGCAUGAGUAGCGAGAUGUGGGUGAGAAUCCCACAGGCCGUAAACCCAAGGUUUCCAGGGGAAGGUUCGUCCGCCCUGGGUUAGUCGGGACCUAAGCUGAGGCCGAAAGGCGUAGGUGAUGGACAACAGGUUGAUAUUCCUGUACUACCGAUAACCGUUUGAGAGAAGGGAUGACACAGUAGGAUAAGCUAAGCACACUGUUGGUUAUGUGUGCCCAAGCAUUGAGGCAGUCAAAGUAGGCAAAUCCGCUUUGAUAAUGCUGGGAUGUGAUGGGGAGCGAAAUUUAGUAGCGAAGUAGCUGAUUUCACACUGUCAAGAAAAGUCUCUAUCGAGGUUAAAGGUACCCGUACCGCAAACCGACACAGGUGGGUGAGGAGAGUAUCCUAAGGCCAGCGAGAGAACUGUUGUUAAGGAACUCGGCAAAAUGACCCCGUAACUUAGGGAUAAGGGGUGCCACCAUCAGGUGGCCGCAGAGAAUAGGCCCAAGCGACUGUUUACCAAAAACAUAGGUUUCUGCUAAGUCGCAAGACGAUGUAUAGGAGCUGACGCCUGCCCGGUGCUGGAAGGUUAAGGGGAUCUGUUAGAGUAAUCGAAGCAGUGAACUUAAGCCCCAGUAAACGGCGGCCGUAACUAUAACGGUCCUAAGGUAGCGAAAUUCCUUGUCGGGUAAGUUCCGACCCGCACGAAAGGCGUAACGAUUUGGGCACUGUCUCAACAACAGACUCGGUGAAAUUGUAAUUCCGGUGAAGAUGCCGGAUACCUGCGACAGGACGGAAAGACCCCAUGGAGCUUUACUGUAGCUUGACAUUGGGUCUUGGUACUACAUGUACAGGAUAGGUGGGAGGCUUUGAAACCAGGACGCCAGUUUUGGCGGAGCCAUCCUUGGGAUACCACCCUUGUAGUACUGGGACUCUAACCAUAGGCCAUGAAUCUGGUCUUGGGACACUGUCAGGUGGGCAGUUUGACUGGGGCGGUCGCCUCCCAAAAGGUAACGGAGGCGCUCAAAGGUUCUCUCAGUACGGUCGGAAAUCGUACGUAGAGUGUAAAGGCAAAAGAGAGCUUGAUUGCAAGACAUACAGGUCGAGCAAGGAUGAAAAUCGGACUUAGUGAUCCGGUGGUUCUGCGUGGAAGGGCCAUCGCUCAACGGAUAAAAGCUACCCUGGGGAUAACAGGCUUAUCUCCCCCAAGAGUCCACAUCGACGGGGAGGUUUGGCACCUCGAUGUCGGCUCAUCACAUCCUGGGGCUGUAGUAGGUCCCAAGGGUUGGGCUGUUCGCCCAUUAAAGUGGUACGCGAGCUGGGUUCAGAACGUCGUGAGACAGUUCGGUCCCUAUCCGUCGCAGGCGUAGGAAAUUUGAGAAGACCUGUCCUUAGUACGAGAGGACCGGGAUGGACG